Molecule: ribosomal RNA, 439 nt
Filed under: uncultured bacterium
Lineage: Bacteria
Description: partial 16S ribosomal RNA
Rfam family: Bacterial small subunit ribosomal RNA
Source: RNAcentral
CCUACGGGAGGCAGCAGUAAGGAAUCUUCCGCAAUGGGCGAAAGCCUGACGGAGCAACGCCGCGUGGGCGAUGAAGGCCUUCGGGUCGUAAAGCCCUUUUCUGUGGGACGAUAAUGACGGUACCACAGGAAUAAGCCACGGCUAACUACGUGCCAGCAGCCGCGGUAAUACGUAGGUGGCUAGCGUUAUCCGGAUUCACUGGGCGUAAAGAGCGCGUAGGCGGUGUGCUAAGUUGGACGUGAAAGCCCCCGGCUGAACCGGGGGAGGUCGUCCAAUACUGGUGCACUUGAGGGUGGACGGGGAAAGCGGAAUUCCCGGUGUAGUGGUGAAAUGCGUAGAUAUCGGGAAGAACACCGAUGGCGAAAGCGGUCUCCUGGCCCAAUACUGACGCUGAGAUGCGAAAGCUAGGGGAGCAAACAGGAUUAGAUCCCCCGGUAGU